RNAcentral lists this long non-coding RNA (3090 nucleotides) under Mus musculus (house mouse). RNAcentral describes it as "long non-coding RNA chr4:154277507-154280597". The record is from RNAcentral. Lineage: Eukaryota; Metazoa; Chordata; Mammalia; Rodentia; Muridae.
AGAUGGUUAGGGUAUUAGAAGCCUUGAUGGCCUCCUGCAAGCCCCUGACCCUGAGUGGGUUUAGAGUCAGAGCCUCAGCCUUCCAGUCCACUUAGCUCUAGCUACUGAGUGUGCUUGGUGACAGCCUGCUGCUUCUCCUUGACCUGUUCCUCGGGGCGAUCAGUAGAGGAAACAAACCAGAGGAAGUGGGUUUACACCAAGGCACCUAAGCUUCUGCCACAGGUACCUAUUAGCGUACACACAGCAUCUGUGCGCACACAAACCCCUCCCCAGUCACCAGUGUGCUGUCCCCUUCACUCACGCAUACACACACACACACACACACACACACACAGAGCAGCUGCACUGGGGUGAAGAUGAAGAUAUUUAUCCCUUUUAGGUUGAAGGAGGUACUAGGCCCCAUCUCAGAGUCAACCCAGCUAUGCCUACUGAACUCUGGCCUGGCCCUCAGGUAAGUGGGUGAGCACUCGUUCUGCUGAGGACUGAUGUCAGGCUGAGCCUAGACUUGGCCCUUCUGGCUGCCUUGGGCCCUUGAUUUUUGGAUGCACAGCUCUUCCUCAGGCCUGAGAGAUAUCACCGUCUGUGCCUGUCACAUCUAUAGCAAGGUAGAGCCCGGUGGGAAGGGAGGCAGAUUCUAUAGUACAUGUUGGGUGCUCCGUCCUGAUCUGGCGCUAGCCAAGCAAAGACACAGGUUUCAGUACCAGACUGAAGGGAUUGUUGGAGAGACCUGAACAGCCAGACCAACCGUGUUCGCUCCUAGCCCAGCCCUAGUCAGCUCAGAGGCUGCCUUUCUGGCCGGGAGGUAUACAGGGCCUAAGAUCACCACACCAGAGCGUCCCCAUUGUGUCCCAGUUCUCAGAGCCCUGUGGCCAGGCUAAGCAUGCAAGAUCCAGCUGCUACCAUCCCUGACCACACAAGCGGAGCCUUGUGCAAGAACUAAGGACAGAACAUGAGACCAGUCUCCACCUACCUGUUAUAUGUUAUAUUUCACUGAAACAGGUGGCUCACAUGUAAAACAAAAUUUUAAAGAAAUACUUUUAUGUUAUUUAGAUCUGUAAUCACAAUAUCCCUGCUGGCACCUCAGGUCACCUGCCACCAGCACCGUCCUCUCAGAACACCAGCCCUUUUUGUCCCACCUGGGAUGGAGGGGUGCAGCUGGGAGGUAACCCUAUGGUGUCUUCAAUGACACUGUUACCCGGUGUAGCUCAGGUGUCCUGUAAGAGGCCAGGCUAGGCUCCUUCCAGAAUGUGAGCCUCUGGGACUUGCCUCAAAGAUGUCUAAGCAAGCCGGAUCUAUAGAUGUUCAGUGUUCUGCACUCAACCGUGAGCCCAGGGGAAGGGCUUCCCAUGACAAACCCCUCAUACUCCUUGGGGGCAGGCAGGACCACUUGCUGGUCGGGGGACUGAAGCUGUGUCCACCAUGGCUUGGCCUUUGAGCAGUCGGUCCAGCUACACAUCCGUCUCCACCCGCAGCCGCUCCAUCCUGCGCACGUUGCCUUCCACGGCCACACGGCUGGUGAUGGAGUGAGCAAAGCUCUCGGGAAACCAGCCGGUCUCUCCGUCCCGAAGCCGCUCCCCGUGUAGCCAACCUGAAUGCAGACAGCAGAUGAGAGGGAGCCCUCUCGUCUCCUCCUUUGCUCUGGAGGGUUCUAGGGCAUGGGUGACUGUUGGAACUGACUGCCCCUCCUGACUCAAGAGAGCCAAGGGGGCCUUGCCCAAGGCCACACGUGGAUACCCACGUGCUUCACUUAGGGCCCAGAGUGAUGAACUCAUUUCGAUCCCGUGAUUCCAGUAUUCUCCCUUUGGAGGUACUGAGUGUGGUGUGUAUGUGUGGAGUAUACAUGUGGAUUCACAUACAUGUGCACCCAUAGUCGUCAUGACAGUUCCUCAGGUGCUGUCCACUCUGUCUCUCGUCACCUUGGAGCUUGCUAAUGAAGCUAGGCUGGCUGAUCAAGGGGCCCUUAAAAUUUGCAUGUCUUUGCUUCUCUGGCAAUGAGAUGCCACAAGCCAUGUGCCACCAUACCCCAAUCAGGUCCUUAUGCCAACCGAGCCAGCUCCCCAGUUCCCGCCUCUGAGGAAGUUCUUAGGGGGGCACGAGGCAGGCCGAGUGUGUGCUGGUUGCCACAGCCCAGUACACUCUGCAGCUGUGUCUGGUUGACACCCACUCAGGGGUGGCCCCACCCACACUCACCGUCCUCUUCCUGCAGGACCAGGACGAUGUCAGCCUGUUGCAGUGUGAUCUCAUCAGCCUGCUUGGCAAAGUACGCCUUGGUGACCUCUACCUGGGGGAGUUCUGGGGGGAAAUGGAAAGACAGCUAAGCCAGGAGUGCUCUGUUGCCCUUGGGGAGGGGCAGUAGUACUCUGCCCGCGGUAGUCCUCCCUCCUGCAGUACUCCUCCCACAGACACAUGGCACCAGCUGUCUCAGCACAAGAUAGACAGCUUCCCUUGGAUAAAGACUGGCCUUCCAGGGAUACAAGGCUAGACAUCUGGCACCCACAGAUCUACUUUUCCCCCUUAAGAGCCAUCCAGGGCCAGAGGUGACAUUUUGAUGGUCCAGCCCUAUUCUAUUCCUUGGACCUCAGGCUUCCUAAGAAGGACAAAUAAGGUUAACCUAGUCACAGUGUGUACAGCAGGCCAAGGUCCAGCUGCCGAGUGAGGCACCCUGGCGAUGCUGCGGUGUGGCCUGGGUUCCAACCAGCUCAACCCCAGGACUGUAACCCACACUCACCUCCUUUGUUGGUGAUGCCCUGCCACUGUCUCUCCUUGUAGGUGAGUGCUGUGAUCCACCGGGCCCGGUCACUCCUGGAGGGAGGCCACAGAGCAUGUAGUUGAGGCCCCUCCUUCCUUCUUGGGGUCCGAGAGUACCGGAAACUGUUCUAUGAUCACUGACUAUUCUGACCUCACCUACUGUCCUGAGGUUUGCUGUGCUGGCAUCAAUGUUGGUGCCUGAUGGCAAGAUGCUCCUGCCUCGGGGCCUUUGCAUGGCCAUGCUCUGGUUGAGCACUGCUCCCCUCUCUGUGUUUGCCGCUUCGUUCCCUCCCUCCCUUGGAGUUUUGACCCAUGCACUACCUUGACAACAACAGCAUGCCC